ACUCUUGCCUAUCGGGAUCCAAGUUUUGGAUUCUCGAUGAGGACGUCUUUCCUGCUUACAGGGCACGGGUCGUUCAAUGCAUUUUUGCACGGAAGAGCCCUCAGCGAUACCACUGCUUGCGCAUGUGGAGAUCCAUAUGAGGACUGGAUGCAUAUCUUGUGCGCUUGCCCCCUAUAUGCAGAUCUGCGGGACCUAGAUGGACUUGGAGUGCAGCGCCUUGGCGAAAACUGGAUCUUCGAGGGAAUCCUGGAUGAUCAAGAGAAGACUCAACGGCUGGCAAUGUUUGCGGAAGAAGUGUUCCUGAGGAGGAGGGGCGUUUAGCUCAGCAUCUCUGCCGUGUGGUUAGCGGGCGAGAAUACUACCACAGUCCGCUGUUGCUUGUCGUAAGAGACGACUAAUACAGCGAUAGGAUUCCUCUAACCCUGCUUGUCGGAGCAAAAGGGGGAGGCCCACCGAGCCUCUUUUCGGUACCACGGGUUGAGCAGCUAUCCAAGACUGCUCAUUGAGGUAGGCCCCCUGGUGGGAGUAUCGUGGUGGCUGUGGUUGGUACCCAUAUCGCGGGUAGAGCCUUCAUGCUCGACGUUUGAGUUACGGUGCUAGUUGCGCAAAACUCGGGUGCUGUGACCCAGAGAUCAGUAGAGAUUUUAGGUAGAUCUCGCUCCUCAGCAAGGGGGAGUGCUUGCCCGGCAAGCAAGUACUCGAAUUGCUACCGGGGUGGUCGCUAUGUACAUAGCUAUAGCUUCUAGUCCGGGACGCUUGUCUGGCGUAUCCAGACACACGCACCAUAUGCUCACUUGUGGGCGUAUAGGGUGCCGUGGUUGUAAUCCCUUCAGUGUGGAACACGCCACGUAAAAUAAGUUCGGAGGGAUCCGAAAAGCAUACAUUGUCCCUAUCUACUGCCGUGUGGUUAGCGGGCGAGAAUACUACCACAGUCCGCUGUUGCUUGUCGUAAGAGACGACUAAUACAGCGAUAGGAUUCCUCUAACCCUGCUUGUCGGAGCAAAAGGGGGAGGCCCACCGAGCCUCUUUUCGGUACCACGGGUUGAGCAGCUAUCCAAGACUGCUCAUUGAGGUAGGCCCCCUGGUGGGAGUAUCGUGGUGGCUGUGGUUGGUACCCAUAUCGCGGGUAGAGCCUUCAUGCUCGACGUUUGAGUUACGGUGCUGGUUGCGCAAAACUCGGGUGCUGAGACCCAGAGAUCAGUAGAGAUUUUAGGUAGAUCUCGCUCCUCAGCAAGGGGGAGUGCUUGCCCGGCAAGCAAGUACUCGAAUUGCUACCGGGGUGGUCGCUAUGUACAUAGCUAUAGCUUCUAGUCCGGGACGCUUGUCUGGCGUAUCCAGACACAUGCACCAUAUGCUCACUUGUGGGUGUAUAGGGUGCCGUGGUUGUAAUCCCUUCAGUGUGGAACACGCCACGUAAAAUAAGUUCGGAGGGAUCCGAAAAGCAUACAUUGUCCCUAUCUACUAUCUAGCGAAACCACAGCCAAGGGAACGGGCUUGGAAUAAUUAGCGGGGAAAGAAGACCCUUUUGAGCUUGACUCUAAUCUGGCAGUGUAAGGAGACAUAAGAGGUGUAGAAUAAGUGGGAGAUAUUAGACCUCGGUUUGGUAUCGUCAAUGAAAUACCACUACUCUUAUUGUUUCCUUACUUACUUGAUUAAAUGGAACGUGUAUCAUUUCCUAGCCAUUAUACGGAUAUAUUUAUUAUAUCUUAUGGUAUUGGGUUUUGAUGCAAGCUUCUUGAUCAAAGUAUCACGAGUUUGUUAUAUAAUCGCAAACAAAUUCUUUAAUAAAACGAUGCAUUUAUGUAUUUUUGAUUUGAAAAUUUGGUAUAACUCCAAUUACUCAGGUAUGAUCCAAUUCAAGGACAUUGCCAGGUAGGGAGUUUGACUGGGGCGGUACAUCUCUCAAAUAAUAACGGAGGUGUCCCAAGGCCAGCUCAGUGCGGACAGAAACCACACAUAGAGCAAAAGGGCAAAUGCUGACUUGAUCUCGGUGUUCAGUACACACAGGGACAGCAAAAGCUCGGCCUAUCGAUCCUUUUGGUUUAAAGAGUUUUUAACAAGAGGUGUCAGAAAAGUUACCAUAGGGAUAACUGGCUUGUGGCGGCCAAGCGUUCAUAGCGACGUCGCUUUUUGAUCCUUCGAUGUCGGCUCUUCCUAUCAUUGUGAAGCAAAAUUCACCAAGCGUUGGAUUGUUCACCCAUGCAAGGGAACGUGAGCUGGGUUUAGACCGUCGUGAGACAGGUUAGUUUUACCCUACUAAUGACAAAACGUUGUUGCGACAGCAUUCCUGCGUAGUACGAGAGGAACCGCAGGUACGGACCAAUGGCACAAUACUUGUUCGAGCGAACAGUGGUAUGACGCUACGUCCGUUGGAUUAUGCCUGAACGCCUCUAAGGUCGUAUCCGUGCUGGACUGCAAUGAUAAAUAAGGGGCAAUUUGCAUUGU
RNAcentral lists this ribosomal RNA (2445 nucleotides) under Drosophila melanogaster (fruit fly). RNAcentral describes it as "eukaryotic LSU rRNA". The stretch from base 1415 to 2445 matches the Rfam family "Eukaryotic large subunit ribosomal RNA", at positions 1891 to 3185 of the family's 3401-position model. Lineage: Eukaryota; Metazoa; Arthropoda; Insecta; Diptera; Drosophilidae. The record is from RNAcentral.